Molecule: unclassified non-coding RNA, 212 nt
Filed under: Hevea brasiliensis (rubber tree)
Lineage: Eukaryota; Viridiplantae; Streptophyta; Magnoliopsida; Malpighiales; Euphorbiaceae
Source: RNAcentral
UCCCUGUUCUCAUCUCCAACAAUCUUUUUGGGAGAAAAAGCAUUAUCUGGCAUUAAUGGUCCACUCAAAAAUUUUUUAUGCUCCAUAACAACGAUACGUGGUAAAGAACUUCUCCUACUGGGAUUAUGACCAUCAUUUGCUUCACAUUCUUGGUUAGCUGACAAUUUUGUAAGAACCUGUUGCUCAGAAUCUGUUUGGGCAGUACCUUUCCA